AGAAUAGAAUAGAAUAGAAUAGAACAGAACAGAACACUUUUUAGCAGCAGGUAAAUUGUGCAUGGCCCAACGGCAACAGUGCACAGGACAAUAGUGAGUAAAAAUAAAAUUUAAAUAAAAAAUAACAAUAUUAAAAAGACUACAUUUCUUAAGUUUAUCACAUCCUGUAUGAUGUUUGAAAAAAAGUAGUUGCUGUAUAAAUCCAGAGCAAUGGAUUGUCCUGCACUAUAUAGUCUUUUAGGGGUUAGGAGGUGGUUUCCAGGAAUUUGGGGAAUAGUCAUAUUUGGUUAAAUGAAAGAUGAAGGUAAUUGUUAAAUACUUAUGUAGUGCUUUUCUACCUUCUUCGAAGGCCCAAAACUCUUUACAGCCACAGUCCCAUUCACUGCACCACAACCGCCCCCGUGCAUGCAGUGCAAGGUAUACACGCACAGCAUCAUGGGUAUAGAAACCAACACAAAUGGGCUUCCAUACAACUUUUCAAAGAUCUAAGUGUUCUUCACUUGUUUUGUCUUCACAGGAAUUUACAGGUGAGCUGAUUCAAAACAGAUUCAGGCGGAUGGAUUUCCCAAAGAAAAAAAAUGAUGGUGGAAACUCCACCGCUAAGAGCAAAACACCUCAACUGUUUUAACCCCCUCAGGACAGUCGACCUGUUCCACAUGUAGGUCAAAAGAUCAACGGGAUUUACACCAAGGAUCUACUACCUACUUCUAGCUUUAAAAAGCAAUUUUCAAGUAACAGAUAAAGUGUUUAACGAGACCUAGCAAAAAUGCACUUGAAUGCAACUAGCGAUCAAAUAAAAAGGGACCAAAUGACAGCCAUUAGAUUUUUUUCUACCACGCUUUUGCAUUUGUGUUGGGAAGCCUUUGUGGCUACAGCCCAUUAGCAAAAGAUUGUUUCUAGGUGCAACAAAGCACAAUGUGAUAAACGCUCCUUUUUCUGCAGAAUUAUGUAUCAAACCAGUUUAAAACAUGGCUAUAAGUUAUGUAUGAAUUGCAGCAGCACCUGAUGUCAAGACUCUGAUCAAAUGACGGGAUGAUGAUGUCACAUUCGCCAAAAAAGGGACAACUCCAGACUAACUAAAGACAGAAAAAACAAGACCCCCACCAGCCGUGAUACCAGUAACUCCUGGCUCUAACAUGGAGACUUACGUUAACCCAUUAACGAUGAAGCCGUCGCCGGUGACAGCAGAAUAACACGGUCCUAAAAGUGACUCUCUGCCUGACAGACAAUCCAUCCAUCCCACUGAAACAUGAGUUCACUGACGGAAGCUGCUGGACUCCUCUGCAGGCGCUCAUAAGAACUAGGUCAGUCAAUAAAGCUAACAAACUGAUAAACUCCAUCGGAGUUCAUCUGCAGCCGUUUCCUUCGGCCCCAACCGUGAGACCCGCCCCCCUGCAUGCGUCCCAUCUGCACAAAAGUUUCAACCUCUGCCUGCAGGACACUUAAGUUUUCCGUUUACAGACGCAGAACUGUGUUUUUGUCAAAAAAUAAACGAGUU
Long non-coding RNA from Oryzias latipes (Japanese medaka), 1498 nucleotides. RefSeq lists it as uncharacterized. The record is from RefSeq and is a predicted model, not a curated record. Lineage: Eukaryota; Metazoa; Chordata; Actinopteri; Beloniformes; Adrianichthyidae.